UCCUAGUACGAGAGGACCGGAGUGGACGCAUCACUGGUGUUCGGGUUGUCAUGCCAAUGGCACUGCCCGGUAGCUAAAUGCGGAAGAGAUAAGUGCUGAAAGCAUCUAAGCACGAAACUUGCCCCGAGAUGAGUUCUCCCUGAGACUUAGAGUCUCCUGAAGGAACGUUGAAGACGACGACGUUGAUAGGCCGGGUGUGUAAGCGCAGCGAUGCGUUGAGCUAACCGGUACUAAUGAACCGUGAGGCUUAACCUUACAACGCCGAAG
RNAcentral lists this ribosomal RNA (267 nucleotides) under Salmonella enterica subsp. enterica serovar Infantis. Its description in RNAcentral is "partial 23S ribosomal RNA". It matches the Rfam family "Bacterial large subunit ribosomal RNA", at positions 2676 to 2925 of the family's 2925-position model. RNAcentral also lists the same sequence under 5 other names. The record is from RNAcentral. Lineage: Bacteria; Pseudomonadati; Pseudomonadota; Gammaproteobacteria; Enterobacterales; Enterobacteriaceae.